AUUCUAUCAGGCUGUGUUAGGUCUUUUCAUGGUUUAUUUUAUUUAAUACACACAAUCAUAGUCUAAGAUAGGCACUGUUAUCAUCCCAUUCUACAGAUGAGGAAAUCAGGCUUACCCAGGCUAAGGAAUUGCUCAAGGUUACAAGGUUAGGAAGUAUUGGAGGCAGGAUUUAAAUACAGACAAGUUUACUAACUUUAAAGCCAGUACUUUUACCCACAAUCCUAAUGUACUUCAUUUAACUUCUUCAGGCUUCAGGGUUCCUAUGUAUGAAAUAGAGAUUAUCCCUAUUUUCACUCUUGUCCCUCCAGUAUUCUCUACACAGUAGAUAGAAAGAUAGCAGCCAUUUGAACUGGGCUCAGCUUCCAGGGGCAUGACAUAAAAUUAAUGUCUGCAGUCAGCCUGUAUGGGCUGGUAUGGAUGUACUCCACAAAAUCCUCAGGGAGCUGAGCUUCUUCUAACUCCACACUGUCCGAUCCAGAGGGGUGACCCUUGUCUUCAUAGUCCAAUAUAGCAGCUGGUCUAUCAACCGUCACAUCUGCAUUCU
RNAcentral lists this long non-coding RNA (544 nucleotides) under Homo sapiens (human). RNAcentral describes it as "HSALNT0370286". Lineage: Eukaryota; Metazoa; Chordata; Mammalia; Primates; Hominidae. The record is from RNAcentral.